This 73-nucleotide transfer RNA is filed under the name Pteropus alecto (black flying fox). It matches the Rfam family "tRNA". Rfam says of the family: Transfer RNA (tRNA) molecules are approximately 80 nucleotides in length. RNAcentral also lists the same sequence under 1 other name. The record is from Rfam by way of RNAcentral. Lineage: Eukaryota; Metazoa; Chordata; Mammalia; Chiroptera; Pteropodidae.
GGCUCCAUAGUGUAGUGGUUAGCACAUCUGCUUUGCAUGCAGAAGGUCCUGGGUUUCGUCCCAGGUGGAGCCA